UAGUCGGAUGCCUGCUGGUUAGGGCGCUUAGCUGUUAACUAAGAGUUUGCGGGGUCAUGGCCCGCCCGUCUAA
Molecule: transfer RNA, 73 nt
Filed under: Arripis trutta (Australian salmon)
Lineage: Eukaryota; Metazoa; Chordata; Actinopteri; Scombriformes; Arripidae
Description: tRNA-Asn
Rfam family: tRNA
About the family: Transfer RNA (tRNA) molecules are approximately 80 nucleotides in length. Their secondary structure includes four short double-helical elements and three loops (D, anti-codon, and T loops).
Source: RNAcentral